RNAcentral lists this ribosomal RNA (616 nucleotides) under Colletotrichum gloeosporioides. Its description in RNAcentral is "eukaryotic LSU rRNA". The stretch from base 243 to 396 matches the Rfam family "5.8S ribosomal RNA". The record is from RNAcentral. Lineage: Eukaryota; Fungi; Ascomycota; Sordariomycetes; Glomerellales; Glomerellaceae.
UCUUGGUCCAAUUAGAGGAAGUAAAAGUCGUAACAAGGUCUCCGUUGGUGAACCAGCGGAGGGAUCAUUACUGAGUUUACGCUCUAUAACCCUUUGUGAACAUACCUAUAACUGUUGCUUCGGCGGGUAGGGUCUCCGCGACCCUCCCGGCCUCCCGCCUCCGGGCGGGUCGGCGCCCGCCGGAGGAUAACCAAACUCUGAUUUAACGACGUUUCUUCUGAGUGGUACAAGCAAAUAAUCAAAACUUUUAACAACGGAUCUCUUGGUUCUGGCAUCGAUGAAGAACGCAGCGAAAUGCGAUAAGUAAUGUGAAUUGCAGAAUUCAGUGAAUCAUCGAAUCUUUGAACGCACAUUGCGCCCGCCAGCAUUCUGGCGGGCAUGCCUGUUCGAGCGUCAUUUCAACCCUCAAGCUCUGCUUGGUGUUGGGGCCCUACAGCUGAUGUAGGCCCUCAAAGGUAGUGGCGGACCCUCCCGGAGCCUCCUUUGCGUAGUAACUUUACGUCUCGCACUGGGAUCCGGAGGGACUCUUGCCGUAAAACCCCCCAAUUUUCCAAAGGUUGACCUCGGAUCAGGUAGGAAUACCCGCUGAACUUAAGCAUAUCAAUAAGCGGAGGAA